RNAcentral lists this ribosomal RNA (488 nucleotides) under uncultured bacterium. RNAcentral describes it as "bacterial SSU rRNA". It matches the Rfam family "Bacterial small subunit ribosomal RNA", at positions 37 to 518 of the family's 1533-position model. The record is from RNAcentral.
UAGCGACAGGCUUAACACAUGCAAGUCGAGGGGUAACAGGGUAGCAAUACCGCUGACGACCGGCGCACGGGUGAGUAACGCGUAUGCAACCUGCCUAUAACUGUGGAAUAGCUCCCUGAAAGGGGAAUUAACACCGCAUAACACUAUUGAUUCGCAUGGAUUGGUAGUUAAAUGUAGCGAUACAGGUUAUAGAUGGGCAUGCGUGACAUUAGCUAGUUGGUGAGGUAACGGCUCACCAAGGCUACGAUGUCUAGGGGUUCUGAGAGGAAGGUCCCCCACACUGGUACUGAGACACGGACCAGACUCCUACGGGAGGCAGCAGUGAGGAAUAUUGGUCAAUGGGCGCAAGCCUGAACCAGCCAUGUCGCGUGCAGGAAGACUGCCCUAUGGGUUGUAAACUGCUUUUAUAGUAGAAGAAACACAUCUACGUGUAGAUGUCUGCCAGUAUACUAUGAAUAAGCAUCGGCUAACUCCGUGCCAGCAGCGGC